CGGUCAUAGGUCUUCUUUGGAGCCUCUGAUUGCUUGAGACCCAGGAAGGAUGUCUCACCACCAGCAUCCGCCUCCGAAUCCACAUCCGCAUCCGAAGCCACAGCCGAAGCCGCAGCCGCAACCGCAGCCACAUCCGCAGCUGCAUCCACAUCCGCAGCUGCAUCCGCAUCCGCAGCCACAGCCGAAGCCACAUCCGCAGCCACAGCCGAAGCCACAUCCGCAGCCGAAGCCGCAUCCGCCUCCGCCUCCCCAGCGGCAUCCGCCUCCACCUCCGCAGCCGCAUCCGCCUCCGCCUCCGUAGCCGCAUCCGCCUCCGCCUCCACAGCCGCAUCCGCAUCCACAUCCGCAGCCACAUCCGCGGCCGCAUCCACAUCCGCAGCCGCAUCCACAUCCGCAGCUGCAGCCGAAGCCACAGCCGCUUCUGCAGCCGCAGCCGAAGCCGCAGCCGCAGCCGAAGCCGCAUCCACAUCAGCAUUAGCAUCACCAUCAGUGCAAGGAGCCCUAUCAUCCACCUCCAAUAGUGUGCCCACUGAAGUGCCAUGAGCCUUGCCCACCUCAUCCAUGCCCACCUCCAGUGAGCCAGCAGAAAUGCCCUCCUGGACCACCAUGCCCACCAUGCCCACCAUGCGAGCACAAGUGUCCACCCAAGUGGAAGUACAGCACCAGAUUUCAUCUGGACCAAGAAACAAGAUCCAGGCUCUUCCAUUGUCCUCCCUUCGGCCAUGGUGAUGGACUGCAUCUUCCUUAACCUCCCCCCUCAACCGACAGCUGACAGAGGAAAGGCUUGCUUCCUGAAGCUGACACCGCAUUGUUGGAAGAAGAGCAGCAGAAUCAUCGCUUGAUCUCUCUGUGCUAUGUGCCCGUCUGUAAUCCACGUUGUGAUCUCUACCCGGUGAGCAAUUAAUGUGUCUAUUCCUUUGCUUCUCCAAUAAAGCAUAUUCAUAGUCCAUUAUGUAUUUCUUUCUUUCGUUUUUUUUGCGUGUUUUUUUGGUUUUUUUUGCAUAUAGUGUUUUUCAUCUCUUCUGUCAGCU
Molecule: long non-coding RNA, 1031 nt
Organism: Ovis aries (sheep)
Lineage: Eukaryota; Metazoa; Chordata; Mammalia; Artiodactyla; Bovidae
Source: Ensembl